UAGGGAAUCUCCCACAAUGGACGCAAGUCUGAUGGAGCAACGCCGCGUGAGUGAAGAAGGUUUUCGGAUCGUAAAGCUCUGUUGUUGGUGAAGAGGGAUAGAGGCAGUAACUGGUCUUUAUUUGACGGUAAUCAACCAGAAAGUCACGGCUAACUACGUGUCAGCAGCCGCGGUAAUACGUAGGUGGCAAGCGUUGUCCGGAUUUAUUGGGCGUAAAGCGAGCGCAGGCGGAAUGAUAAGUCUGAUGUGAAAGCCCACGGCUCAACCGUGGAACUGCAUCGGAAACUGUCAUUCUUGAGUGCAGAAGAGGAGAGUGGAACUCCAUGUGUAGCGGUGGAAUGCGUAGAUAUAUGGAAGAACACCAGUGGCGAAGGCGGCUCUCUGGUCUGCAACUGACGCUGAGGCUCGAAAGCAUGGGUAGCGAACAGGAUUAGAUACCCUGGUAGUCCAUGCCGUAAACGAUGAGCGCUAGGUGUUGGGGGACUUUCCGGUCCUCAGUGCCGCAGCAAAUCGCAUUAAGCGCUCCGCCUGGGGAGUACGACCGCAAGGUUGA
This 553-nucleotide ribosomal RNA is filed under the name uncultured bacterium. Its description in RNAcentral is "partial 16S ribosomal RNA". It matches the Rfam family "Bacterial small subunit ribosomal RNA", at positions 355 to 897 of the family's 1533-position model. The record is from RNAcentral.